GUAUUGUAUUGCGUUAAACGCGGCAUACAUUCCAUGAGACUUUAUAUAGAGUGUGUGUGUAAAGACAUAGAACCAUAGCAGGAGGCCAGAGCCCCCCAGGCCACAGAACUACGGAGGGUGCACAGGUGUGAGUGGAUGUGUGAACAGAGCGUGCACAUGCCCCCGUUUGAGGGCCAGCAACAACUCGUGUUGACAAUUCGGUAAUGAUCCUUCCGCAGGUUCACCUACGGAAA
RNAcentral lists this unclassified non-coding RNA (233 nucleotides) under uncultured fungus. RNAcentral describes it as "sequence contains ITS1". Lineage: Eukaryota; Fungi. The record is from RNAcentral.